UCAAAGUCUUCCGUGUAGGCGUAAUUUCAGUCCACAAAACCGGCUGCUGGAAAACUGUGGGCAGGCUUAUCUUCCAUCACACGGAUCCGUCGAGCCCCGGCAGGGAUUACGGCUGCUUCGAUAUAACCUAGAGCAAACAAAGAAGAACAGGUGGAUGGCAACAACAAUAAAAUUACCAGGAGAAACAGCUUGACACACCUUGAGGGGAAACGGAAGACACAGUGGCAGCUGGGAUCUUAAUAAAGACUGUGGAGGCCAGCC
Long non-coding RNA from Hemicordylus capensis (graceful crag lizard), 261 nucleotides. RefSeq lists it as uncharacterized. Lineage: Eukaryota; Metazoa; Chordata; Lepidosauria; Squamata; Cordylidae. The transcript is spliced from 3 exons. The record is from RefSeq and is a predicted model, not a curated record.